Molecule: ribosomal RNA, 253 nt
Filed under: uncultured bacterium
Lineage: Bacteria
Description: partial 16S ribosomal RNA
Rfam family: Bacterial small subunit ribosomal RNA
Source: RNAcentral
GACAGAGGCCUCAAGCGUUAGGCGGAAUCACUGGGCUUAAAGCGUGUGUAGGCGGACUUCUAAGUGCCUCGUGAAAUCCCACGGCUCAACCGUGGAACUGCUGGGCAUACUGGGAGUCUUGGGCCAUUCAGGGGCAACUGGAACAAGCGGUGGAGCGGUGAAAUGCGUAGAUAUCUGGAGGAACACCGGUGGCGAAGGCGGCUCACUGGACCGUAUCUGACGCUGAGGUGCGAAAGCUAGGGUAGCAAACGGG